GUAGGUGGCAAGCGUUGUCCGGAAUUAUUGGGCGUAAAGCGCGCGCAGGCGGUCCUUUAAGUCUGAUGUGAAAGCCCACGGCUCAACCGUGGAGGGUCGUUGGAAACUGGGGGACUUGAGUACAGAAGAGGAAAGCGGAAUUCCAAGUGUAGCGGUGAAAUGCGUAGAGAUUUGGAGGAACACCAGUGGCGAAGGCGGCUUUCUGGUCUGUAACUGACGCUGAGGCGCGAAAGCGUGGGGAGCAAACAGGAUUAGAUACCCUGGUAGUCCACGCCGUAAACGAUGAGUGCUAAGUGUUAGGGGGUUUCCCGCCCCCUUAGUGCUGCAGCUAACGCAUUAAGCACUCCGCCUGGGGAGUACGGCCCGCAAGGCUG
Molecule: ribosomal RNA, 374 nt
Filed under: uncultured organism
Description: partial 16S ribosomal RNA
Rfam family: Bacterial small subunit ribosomal RNA
Source: RNAcentral